AGAGGCCCUGCUAUAAUCAUGUCAUCUUCAGGGACUUAAGACCCAUCAUGCUGGACUUAGGGUAUCAGAUCCUAAACACAACCUCCACAGCCAUGUGAGGACUCUGGGACAAGGGCUGGGACACUGGAAAAUCUUACUAAGUGGUGUCUAACUGGCCCACCAGACAGAGAGAAGGGGAUCCAAGAAGAACUGAGGCCCUUGGUACCCAGUGCAGGCUGCUUUCCAGGCUGCCCACCCUGGGUCUCUGCACCAAGUCCUACACUGGGCACUGUGUGCUCCCAACACACCUGCGUGUGCCAUGCUUGCCUCAAGCCUUCAGAUGUCCCAGGGACUCCAAGAUGUGCACAUGCUUGUGAGCCCAUGUGCAUACUUGAUGACUAGUGACACCAAAAAGGGAUUUUCACUGGAUGGCCAGGGGCAAACUGAUGCUCUAAUCUCCUGGGUCAGGGUGCCUUGGCAGGGUCUCCCCGGCGGUCCUACCUGCAAACACUGCGGAGCAGUAGGCAUCGCUGAUGUCGGAAUCCGGGGUGUGGACAUUCUCCGCAAAGAGGAUGAAGACUCGCAGCAUCGCGAAGCUGGAGGGGC
Molecule: long non-coding RNA, 585 nt
Filed under: Mus caroli (Ryukyu mouse)
Lineage: Eukaryota; Metazoa; Chordata; Mammalia; Rodentia; Muridae
Description: lncRNA (MGP_CAROLIEiJ_G0003888.1)
Source: RNAcentral